UACAGAGGAUGCAAGCGUUAUCCGGAAUGAUUGGGCGUAAAGCGUCUGUAGGUGGCUUUUUAAGUUCGCCGUGAAAUCCCAGGGCUCAACUCUGGACAGGCGGUGGAAACUACCAAGCUGGAGUACGGUAGGGGCAGAGGGAAUUUCCGGUGGAGCGGUGAAAUGCGUAGAGAUCGGGAGGAACGCCCGUGGCGAAGGCGAGGCCCUGGACGGCUGCUGACGCUGAGGCGCGAAAGCGUGGGGAGCGAACGGG
RNAcentral lists this ribosomal RNA (253 nucleotides) under uncultured bacterium. RNAcentral describes it as "partial 16S ribosomal RNA". It matches the Rfam family "Bacterial small subunit ribosomal RNA", at positions 524 to 776 of the family's 1533-position model. The record is from RNAcentral.